RNAcentral lists this ribosomal RNA (632 nucleotides) under fungal endophyte. Its description in RNAcentral is "eukaryotic LSU rRNA". The stretch from base 227 to 380 matches the Rfam family "5.8S ribosomal RNA". Lineage: Eukaryota; Fungi. The record is from RNAcentral.
UACCGGCUCAGGCCAGCGCCUCCAAAGCGCGCUCCGGCCCGUCUCACCCCCUCGCGAACCUACCUGAAAACGUUGUUUCGGCGGGCGGCCCUAGGGCGGGGCCACUCGCGGCCCGGGCGCAUUCCCGGGUGCCCGCUGCGAGCCUACCAUAAAACAUCUUCUAUCAGAGAGUCCUAUCUGAGCCUUCCGACCUGGCGUGCCGCCGGCGAGGAUUUCUUCCAAUCAAAACUUUCAACAACGGAUCUCUUGGUUCUGGCAUCGAUGAAGAACGCAGCGAAAUGCGAUAAGUAAUGUGAAUUGCAGAAUUCAGCGAAUCAUCGAAUCUUUGAACGCACAUUGCGCCCGCCAGCAUUCUGGCGGGCAUGCCUGUCCGAGCGUCAUUGACACCCCUCAGGCGCGCGGGCCGCUACAGGCCCGCCGCGCCCGGCGUUAGGGCUAGCGGCGGAGCGCAUCCUGCGCCGCCGCGGCCCCCAAAUGCAGUGGCGGGACCCCGCCCGGGACCCCGAGCGCAGUAGCACUAUGCUCGCUCCGGGGCGCCCACGGGGCCCACCGCCGGCCGCGCACGGCCGCAACCUCCACACACAAGACGUUGACCUCGGAUCAGGUAGGAAGACCCGCUAAACUUAAGCAUA